RNAcentral lists this ribosomal RNA (349 nucleotides) under Cylindroiulus punctatus. Its description in RNAcentral is "partial 28S ribosomal RNA". It matches the Rfam family "Eukaryotic large subunit ribosomal RNA", at positions 644 to 960 of the family's 3401-position model. The record is from RNAcentral. Lineage: Eukaryota; Metazoa; Arthropoda; Diplopoda; Julida; Julidae.
UUGAACCGUCUUGUAANGCGGACCAAGGAGUCUAACAUGUAUGCGAGUCUUUGGGCUGUAAACCCCANAAAGGCGCAAUUAAAGUAAAGGCGACCUCGCGUCGCCCAGGUGGGAUCCCGGCGACUCUGUUUCGUCGGGCGCACNGCCGGNCCGUCCAACGACCGCUUUGGCGGCCGGGCNGAGCUAGAGCAUACACGUUGGUACCCGAAAGAUGGUGAACUAUGCCUGGGCAGGACGAGGCCAGAGGAAACUCUGGUGGAAGUCCGCAGCGAUUCUGACNUGCAAAUNGAUCGUCGGACCUGGGUAUAGGGGCGAAAGACUAAUAGAACCAUCUAGUAGCUGGUUCCUC